AUUGAACGCUGGCGGCAUGCCUUACACAUGCAAGUCGAACGCGAAAGGGGGGCAACCCCCGAGUAGAGUGGCGAACGGGUGAGUAAUACAUCGGAACGUGUCCAGUAGCGGGGGAUAACCUCUCGAAAGAGAGGCUAAUACCGCAUACGACCUACGGGUGAAAGAGGGGGAUCGCAAGACCUCUCACUAUUGGAGCGGCCGAUGUCGGAUUAGCUAGUUGGCGGGGUAACGGCCCACCAAGGCGACGAUCCGUAGCUGGUCUGAGAGGACGACCAGCCACACUGGAACUGAGACACGGUCCAGACUCCUACGGGAGGCAGCAGUGGGGAAUUUUGGACAAUGGGCGCAAGCCUGAUCCAGCCAUGCCGCGUGAGUGAAGAAGGCCU
This 386-nucleotide ribosomal RNA is filed under the name uncultured bacterium. Its description in RNAcentral is "bacterial SSU rRNA". It matches the Rfam family "Bacterial small subunit ribosomal RNA", at positions 29 to 417 of the family's 1533-position model. The record is from RNAcentral.